This is a long non-coding RNA of Passer domesticus (house sparrow), 4079 nucleotides long. RefSeq lists it as uncharacterized. The record is from RefSeq and is a predicted model, not a curated record. NCBI's taxonomy places the organism in Eukaryota, Metazoa, Chordata, Aves, Passeriformes, Passeridae. The transcript has 14 exons.
GGUAUGGGCUGAGAGAUUCUUGUGGCCAAUAGGUUUUGUUUGUGAAGUGUUUCAGCUGUUUACUGUUAGCUUUCACAUUGCGUGGCAUUUGGGAUGAUUUUCCCUUAUGUGGGAGCUUCAUCCUGCCUUUAUAGAACCAAAGAAAGCUAAAAAGUUAGAUAAUUAGGUUAUAAAUCCCAUCUGUUUCUGAAAGGAGCCUAGAUGUGUCACUUCCUCAGCUAAAGGUGCCGUCAAGCUCUCCUACUGCAUCCACAAGCAGUUUCUUCUCCAGACGUGUUAGAGAAAACACCUUUAAUGGGAUCAAGUUCCUCAUUUUUUCAAGAAAGGACACGUUCUAGUUACAGAGUUUACCCAGCAAAAGCGCCUGCAGUGUAAUGCAGAGAAACCUGAGGCAGAUGUAAAUUCAAACACUGGUAACAACCUAAGCGAGGCGGCGCCGAGCUCAGCACAGCCAAUUUGCUUUGCUGAGGAGCUGAGUAAAUCAGCUCCUGCUGAGCCCGUGCUGCCCUGGUGCCUGCUGGAGUCCUGGGAGAGGGGGCAGAGCCACCACGGGGCUCUCCAGGUGCUGCUGUCACUCCUGAUGGACUCACAGGGUAGUGGGGAUGCAGGCACCCAAAUCAUUGCUUUCCUAUUUCAGUGGGCGGCUUCCUGCCUGGUGGACCUAUAAGCAAGUCAGUGUAGGACAUCAUAGUCUCACUAAUGAAGAUGUUAUCUCUGGAAACUUUCUGCGUUACUCAGCAGUAACGCCGCCCAACCGCCAAAUAGUGGUGUGUGCUACACUGACUCCUUGUAAUUAAAAUAGCUCUUCCGUUACUGCUUUUAGCAAGUAGGCAUGAUGAGAGAAAUGCUAUCUCUGAAAACAGCCAUGAUGUCCUUCACUACCAAGAUGAUUCUCUGAACAGCUGCAUCUGUGCUGGGAAAUGCCACCUGAAAUUGGACAACAAGAGAUAAUAUUUUUUAUUUUACAAUUUUACAAUAAGCUGUGCCCACUUUGGUGGAGAAAAUAAUGAACACAGAGACUUUUAUCAGCUGUUUGGCUGGCAUGUAUUUGCAUGUGCCUAAAUACCUUUCCUAUUUGCUGUGCAAGAUCCUGAUACAGGGUGCAGCAACAUCCAGUAGCCCUGGGCAAUAAUAGCCUGAUAAAUUUGGUUCAGCUGACUGGAGUUCCACAUAGUAUGCAACUUGCCUUAUAUCUCGCCUCUCAAAAAACACCUGCACUGAUCCAUAUAGAUUCUUAUUUCCCAGAAUAAGAGGCUGUUUCACAGCCUUAAAAUAAGAAGAAAAAUGGCAAUUUGUAAAUGGGAUUUUGCAGUUUUCCAUGCUCUGCCAUUGACCAGGGAAACGAGAAACCUGCAGAGGAGCACAGCCUGAACCGCUGACCCAAACUGGCCAAAGAGCUAUUCCAUAAUACAAAAUGUCAUGCUCAGUGUAUAAAGUGGAAGGCUUUGGCCAGGAGCUGCCAGCUGGGAGAGAACAGGUAUAAGCAACCAUUUGUCCAAGGUGGCCAGUCAGUACCCAAGCAAGAGAUGUUUUGGAAGUGGAACAACUUAAUUGCAUAGAUAUUUAAGCAGACUGUGGCAUUAACUGAAGAUUCGAACACAAUUCAGCCUAUUGAAAUAAAUUACACUUGUCAAGACUGUCUUCAGAACUUCCUAAUGACAAGAAAAACAGCAUAUACAGUGAAAAAAAACAAUAUAAGUAUACUUAAGAAAAAAAUCAAUGGACAUUGGGUGUGUUCUUUCUGGACAGAGAACUCAAGAAGCACAGUGUUCUGUUGUCACAGCCAUGCUGAACUAUAACCCUUUCAUUGAUUGAGACAAGCGCAAUCACCGGAUGCUGAGCCAACCCAGUAAAAAGGUUUUUUUUAUGACUGAAGCUGUGAUGAGAAAAAACCCCAAACAGCCUGUGGGUGGAGCAAAAUGAGACCUUCUGCUACUCAGUUAUACCACUCCCAGUCUCAUUCCAAAAGCAAAAUAAGAGCUUUUCUAGUCAGAUUUCAGCAAGCAAUAUUUCAGCAAUUGCACAUGACAGAGAUAAUUUCAAGGCAAAUCAGACAUACCCUCAACAAAAACAGAUUGAUCCUGCAAGAACCUAUUCCCAGCACUUAACAAGAACAUGAUGUAAGAAGAAACAGUGCAAACCAAGCACCUAUCAAGCCUUGAGCCAGUGUGAUCAUCCAUUUGAAUUUGUCUGGUAAUGAGGGGAAGCUGUGCUUCCACUUGGCCAUGCGUGACCCAGAGGUUGCACUAAGGACAUAAACAAGAGUGAAGUUGUUACUGAAAUGUAUCUUCAUUAGACUGGACUCUGCUAUUCUGAAAAAGACUUGACAGCAUGGUGGGAGAUUGUGAGGAGCUGGCAGAAGACUUCAGGCUCAGGAGGUAUCUGAGAUCUCCCUUUCUCCACCACCAAAGCAUUGGAUGAACACCCGGACUUAUUUUGCAGCUGAAGCAAGGGCUGCAUCUUUGUGGAUGUUCCAGGAGACAUCUAUCAAGCAUCAAAAAAAUCCCUCCCAAUACCUACAGAAGUACUGAGACCAGGCUCACCCCAUGCAGGGCUGACAUUUCAGCUGGACGGAUCACCCAGCAGCAGAUAUCUGAGCAGGCAGUGCAGCAGUGCUGAGGGACCAUCAGGAAUGUGGAAAUCCUGCCUUCAGCUGCUGCCUGUGCUUGUCGAUUGAAUCCACAUGGCUAGGAGGUAUUUAGGAUGGAGAUAAUCCAAACAUUAAUUGAAAGCAGAAGCUGGAAGCCAAAAUUCCAUUCUCUCAGUUGUAAUGUUCUGAAAUGUAUCCUGAAGCCAGUCUACUGAAUAAGAACAAUAGCAAGAGUAAAAAUGUCAAGGAAGAACAGGAGAGGCAGAAUAGAAAUGCAGCAUGAAACUGAGUUAGAAGCUGAAGGCUGAAAGGGGCUCUGAAGAGAAAAGUUCAAGAUUAAAGGAAAUUAUUUCAUCCGUUUCUCCUACUCAUGAGUAAUUACUUAUAUGCAGCUGAGUAAUAAUUGCAACUGAAAGCAUUUGAGUGAAUUCAGCAGUCAGCACUAUGAUCAUGGAUCAUAAUCUGGAUCAUGAAUCAUAAUUAAGGGCAAAUUUAAAAUUAAAUGCUAUGGAUCUCUUCAAGGUCCUUUUUUGUAAAUAAUAAAUCAGAGCUGUUUCUGUAGGUAAGUCAAGUUAAAAUUGUGUGUAUGUUAAAGAAUAAAGAAGUUUCUUCCCUUCCUUCCACUUAUUCACAAGUGAAACAAGAGCAAGUCAUUUCAAGGGAACUCUGAGAUAGAGCAAGAUAACAAAUGUGAUGUACUUCACAAACAAUGUUAUCUCCUUCAACCAGAUAAAAACAUAGAUACUAUAGGUUAGGUGCCAAUUUGUUUCACUGAAAUUACAUGCUGUGAAUCACUCCUGCAGUAUUGCAUGAGUACCUGCUCAUAUAGUACCCAGCUUCUGUGACCCUAGAGUACAUUCAUUUGUAAUGUAAGAAAUGAGUGGUAAAACAUAUAUUAUAAAAAAUGGAAAUACCUUAUGUGAGAACUAGAAGCAGAAAUCUGAAGCACUGGCUAUUCCUUUUCCCCAGGUAUUAUAAUUUUUGACCUUUUUGUACUGCCUCCAUCUAGUGAUAGAUAAGUAUGUGCUUUGUUUCCCAAACUGGGGUGAUUUCUGUGAUAGGCACCAGAUUUUAUUCUGAAAUACUUAUUAAUUUAAAAUAAAAUAUGGAUUUCUACUGCUAAUUAUAGCAUGGUGAUGUGCUACUUGUCAAUUUCAUAUGUUUUUCAAAAGACAUAAAAAACCCAUUUUAUCAUAAGUACUAAGGUCAUGUUUACAUAAAGAUUUGGUUUUGAGAAACUGGAUGUAAAGUGUUUUAUUUUUUUAAAAGAAUAAUGCCAGACAUGGACAGCCAUUUGUGCUGGAUCCCUCUGUGCUGGGGAGAAUGUGACAGCCAGGGACUCCUCCCUGCACAAGGACCAAUACAUAGAGUAUGAAAAUCAAAACUGAUUUGGCUGCUUGAGAAAGGCUAAGAGAUAAAUGUUUAAAAUUCUAGAUUCAAGUGAUGUUUUUCAAAAGGUUAAAUUUUGAAAAUGUCUCAUCAUAAACUU